UAUGGCAAUAAAAGAAACAUUUCAUCUGUCAACUGAAAUUUCGAGGAAUUUGUUUUUGGUUUGGCUUCAAAUUUCCUUUAAAAAGUGAUGAAAAUGUCGAAGAAACCUCUUCGAUCGCAAGCAAGACAUAUUUUUUUCAAUGUUUAUCAAAGAAUACUUGGUCAACAAGAUGCAGAACAUACACAAUCAUCGAUAUUGAGCCAUGUGCAAGCGUUGACUGGGGUUUCUUAUACUACAAAUAAACUUGGAUAGUUUUGAUUUAGAAUUGAUCAGAAACAAGAUAAAUGAGUUUUACACUGUUUCUUUCUCUCAAAUAGGGAUCGAUGAAUGGCGAAAAUCUUGUGAACAUGUAAUAAAAAUUGAAAAUCAGUUCAUAGAACAAGAUCGGUUAAUUGAGAUGCAGGGGGAAAGGUUUAUCAUAAAUACUGCGUUGAAGACUUUUUUAUGGAUGUGCAGUAUUUGGAACCAUUUUCAAGUUCUUAAUUAAUUAAUAAACUCGUGAACAGAGUAA
Molecule: long non-coding RNA, 511 nt
Organism: Pieris napi
Lineage: Eukaryota; Metazoa; Arthropoda; Insecta; Lepidoptera; Pieridae
Exons: 2
Source: RefSeq, a predicted model, not a curated record